Molecule: long non-coding RNA, 216 nt
Filed under: Elaeis guineensis (African oil palm)
Lineage: Eukaryota; Viridiplantae; Streptophyta; Magnoliopsida; Arecales; Arecaceae
Description: long non-coding RNA (EGUI_LNC065197)
Source: RNAcentral
AUGCCUUUAAGAAGAACCUUUCUUCUUUAAUUUUCUAUGAUAAAAAUUAGAUCUAAUCUAAUUUCUUUAUGUAGAAAAUUAUAUAAAAUUUUAAACUCUAGAAGAACCCAAAAAAGGGACCCAAGUGAAGAACCAUUCUUCUCUCUUCUUCCUUUUUCUCCUUGAUUUAGAACUCUAGAAAGCCCCAAACUACAAACCAAAUUUUUUUAGUAUUUC